CUCUAGUCUAGUAGUUUCCAUUGCUUUUCUAGGGUUAAGCCCUAGUCUUUAACAACAGACUUAUUAAACAACCUACAGGCGCUUUACGCCCAAUGAUUCCGGAUAACGCUUGCAUCCCCCGUAUUACCGCGGCUGCUGGCACGGAGUUAGCCGAUGCUUAUUCCUCAAGUACCGUCAGAACUUCUUUCUUGAGAAAAGAGGUUUACAGACCAAAAUCCUUCAUCCCUCACGCGGUAUUGCUCCGUCAGGCUUUCGCCCAUUGCGGAAAAUUCCACACUGCUGCCUCCCGGAGGAGUCUGGGCCGUGUCUCAGUCCCAGUGUGGCUGAUCGUUCUCUCAAACCAGCUACUGAUCGUGGCCUUGGUGAGCCAUUACCUCACCAACUAGCUAAUCAGGCGUGAGCUCAUCCUUAGGCAGCCUAAGCUAUUUCAUCUCUCGACAUAUGAAGAUUUAGCAGCCGUUUCCAGCAGUUAUUCUUCUCCUAAGGGCAGAUUCUCACGUAUUACGCACCCGUUCGCCACUAAAGUUAAAAACUUUCGUUCGACUUGCAUGUGUUAAGCAUACCGCCAGCGUUCAUCCUGAGCCAGGAUCAAACUCU
Molecule: ribosomal RNA, 597 nt
Filed under: uncultured bacterium
Lineage: Bacteria
Description: partial 16S ribosomal RNA
Source: RNAcentral